Molecule: long non-coding RNA, 1141 nt
Organism: Bactrocera neohumeralis
Lineage: Eukaryota; Metazoa; Arthropoda; Insecta; Diptera; Tephritidae
Exons: 2
Source: RefSeq, a predicted model, not a curated record
GCCACGGCGAAUAUCGCAUUCGAUGGAACGAUGAGCUGUACGAGAUAUACGACGACAUUGACAUAAUUCAGCGAAUUAAAAGACAGCGGCUACGCUGGCUAGGUCACUCUGAAAGUAUUCGACGCAGUACCCGCCGGGAGAAGCAGAGGAAGAGGAAGACCUCCACUCCGUUGGAAGGACCAUGUGAAGAAAGACCUAGCUUCGCUUGGAAUAUUCAAUUGCCGCCACGUAGCGAAAAGAAGGAGCGAUUGGCGCGCUGUUGUUAACUCGGCAAUAAUCGCGUAAGCGGUAUCUACGCCAAUUAAGAAGAAGAAGGUACAACAUCCGGUGUGUUUAACGUGGGUACUUGUUGACGACAGCCUUACUCCACGGCGCUCAAAAGCACAGCGGAUCAAAAUAAUGCGUUGAUCAGCGCCCUGAGAAUGCUAAGCAUUUUCAGUACCAAUUGGAGUGUGGCAUGGACACACUAACCACCUUGGUCGGGUUCGAGGCCCAUCUAAAACCUCUGCCGUGCUUUGGGUCCGGCACCCGGUUGCAAUGCAACUCCAAAUUCAACUGACAAGGUCAGUUCUUCCCGCAUUUGGGUUUUAACCCCAACCACCACGAAUCUCCACAAAGGGCCAAACCCAAUGAGCAGAUUGGAGUUACCUCCAAGGGCUACUGCUCCCCGUUGUACCAGAAUUAAGUCUCCGGUCAGACCUCGUAGCCGAAGCUACUACCAGUUGAGCUUCCAUACGGCUCUGGACUGGUGGCCAGGAUAUUAGUCGCCUCUUACGACAGGCAUGCCUUACCACGGGUAUAUUCGGUUUCCCCCCGAACCCAAGGGGGUCCCCCCUACCCGCAAGGGGAAAAACAUUACAGGUACAUUAAGUUUGUCACGAAGUUUGUAACAUCCAGAAGGAAGCGUCGGAGACCCUAUUAAGUAUAUAUAUAAAUGAUCAGUAUGUUCAGCUGAGUCGAUUUAGCCAUGUCCGUCUGUCCGUCUGUCUCUGUAUAUAUACGAACUAGUCCCUCAGUUUUUAAGAUAUCGUUUUGAAAUUUUGCAAAAGUCAUUUUCUCUUCAAGAAGCUGCUCAUUUGUCGGAACAGCCGAUAUCGGACCACUAUAACAUGUAGCUGCCAUACAAACUGAACGAUCGGAA